UACGUAGGGUCCGAGCGUUGUUCGGAUUCAUUGGGCGUAAAGGGUGCGUAGGUGGCGCUGUAAGUCGGGUGUGAAAUCCUGAGGCUUAACCUCGGAACUGCAUUCGAUACUGCGGUGCUUGAGGACUGGAGAGGAGACUGGAAUUCAUGGUGUAGCAGUGAAAUGCGUAGAGAUCAUGAGGAAGACCAGUGGCGAAGGCGGGUCUCUGGACAGUUCCUGACAUUGAGGCACGAAGGCCAGGGGAGCAAACGGG
Molecule: ribosomal RNA, 253 nt
Filed under: uncultured bacterium
Lineage: Bacteria
Description: partial 16S ribosomal RNA
Rfam family: Bacterial small subunit ribosomal RNA
Source: RNAcentral